RNAcentral lists this ribosomal RNA (371 nucleotides) under uncultured bacterium. RNAcentral describes it as "bacterial SSU rRNA". It matches the Rfam family "Bacterial small subunit ribosomal RNA", at positions 527 to 896 of the family's 1533-position model. The record is from RNAcentral.
GGGGGGGGCGAGCGUUGUUCGGAAUUACUGGGCGUAAAGGGUGCGUAGGCGGCUUUCUAAGUCGGAUGUGAAAACUCUGGGCUCAACCCAGAGCCUGCAUCUGAAACUGGAGAGCUAGGGUUUUGGAGGGGAAAGCGGAAUUCCAGGUGUAGCGGUGAAAUGCGUAGAUAUCUGGAGGAACACCGGUGGCGAAGGCGGCUUUCUGGACAAAUACCGACGCUGAGGCACGAAAGCUAGGGGAGCAAACAGGAUUAGAUACCCUGGUAGUCCUAGCCCUAAACGAUGGAUACUUGCUGUGGGGGGGAUUGAAGCCCCUUGUGGCGAAGCUAACGCAUUAAGUAUCCCGCCUGGGGAGUACGGUCGCAAGGCUG